RNAcentral lists this unclassified non-coding RNA (428 nucleotides) under Hevea brasiliensis (rubber tree). Lineage: Eukaryota; Viridiplantae; Streptophyta; Magnoliopsida; Malpighiales; Euphorbiaceae. The record is from RNAcentral.
CAGAUUUUUGAAGUAGCAGGAUUCACUGUCUCAAAAAUUGUCUCCAAGGCUGACCAGGCUUUAAACAAAUCAAUGCGGCUACAUGAAAACAAGAGAAAAAGAAGCGUUCAUAAUGUAACUGCAGCUGAUAAAUCAUUAUCACUGAUGGUUGAUGCGGGAACAAAUUCUUGCUAAAUUGCGGGUUCAUGGAAGAAAAAAGUUGUGUAAACUAAAAUCAAGUUUGUGAUCAACGAAGUAUGUGAAGAAGGAAAAAAAGCAGCAGCACUCGUCACGAUAUAGAUUGAAGAUCUUGAAUCAUGUUACUUUUCCUUACAUGGCAGCAACAUUUAGAGGAUUUUGUAGUUUACGAGGCUUAUUUUAUUCUCCCUGUAUAGCAUGAAUACGUGAAAGCUGUGUUGUGAAAGUUGUCCUGUGAUAAAAUAUUAAAU